AUGUCUUUCCACCUUCAUAAGGCAAUAUGCAUUUCCAAAAGUGUUGUUCUUGAACAGUUGAUCGAGGAGAGUUCAGACCAAGAAGAGUGCAUCAUCAAACCAAGUGAUAUCCCAGGGGGUGCAAAAUCAUUUGAGAUGGUGGCAAAAUUCUGCUAUGGAGUGAAAGUAUAACUUUCUUUUGCAAAUGUUGCCCAUCUAUGUUGUGCCUCUGAGCAUCUCCAGAUGACUGAAAUGAUAUCUUUUUUUUGA
RNAcentral lists this ribosomal RNA (249 nucleotides) under Triticum aestivum (bread wheat). RNAcentral's name for it is "partial small subunit ribosomal RNA". The record is from RNAcentral. Lineage: Eukaryota; Viridiplantae; Streptophyta; Magnoliopsida; Poales; Poaceae.